GAGGGGUCCAAGCCUUUUCUCAGCAGGAAGGACUUGCCUGAGCUUCUAGGUGGCUUGUUCCCCGUUGCCAAAUCUGGCUUGGGCCACAAAGUGAAGGCAGGAUCCACUUGAAAGCAAGGGAAUGAGGUGCUGAGAACAAGUCCCUCAGUUGACUCAGCUCACACACACACACUCACAGACACAAACACACUCACACACACAUACACAGCACAUCAGGCUGACCCGAGGCCCGCGGCCCCUUUGCUGUCUGUAUACAAGGUAGCAAACGAAGCGACAAGUCAGCGCAACAGGAAAAGCGACUGCUGCCAGAAGCUUGCAUUUCCAUUUCUGAAACACCCAGCCCUGACCCCGGAGGCAGACAAGCAUGCUUCAGCAGGACCAAAUGUUUCCAGUACGCAGCCGGGCUGAAGGCAGCAAAUUGAGUGGAACUGUCUGUUGUAUCUUGCUUUCAGCUUCUCGAGCUGUUUUUAAAAUCCCUUUUGGGCGCAGGAAUCGUUUCACUCUAUGACCUUGCAUUAAAUGCUGGUGUAUGCAGAGCGAGGUGACAGAAUCCCGGCUGCUUUGUCCUCAAAAUGCCAGAACCUCUGCCUCACAGUGGAUGACAUCGGGUUGAAUAUCUUCACAGCCAUAGCAGGCUGAAUGUCCUCUUUGAAAGCUGCCUUAGAGCCAGGCACAUUAUUCUGAAGAGCCUCAAAUGUGAAUCGUCUUCAUCCUCUGAGGUUGGGCACAGCUGUUGGAAGCAGCCGCAGGUGUGUGUGUCCCCCAGGGCAAUCGGCAGAGCCUCCUAUGGUGACAUGAGGUGACCUCGGGUCUCAGUCUGCCUGGCUUUAACCCCGAGCUCCACGUGUGUGUUACCUGUGUGAUCUUGGGUGCCACGCCUCUGUGCUUGGUAACCUCUGCUUGUAGAGUUUGGAUUCUUAGAAGGGUGCUAACUUCAGAGACUCCUUCUGA
RNAcentral lists this long non-coding RNA (951 nucleotides) under Homo sapiens (human). RNAcentral describes it as "non-protein coding lnc-KCNAB2-2:1". Lineage: Eukaryota; Metazoa; Chordata; Mammalia; Primates; Hominidae. The record is from RNAcentral.